Molecule: ribosomal RNA, 301 nt
Filed under: uncultured bacterium
Lineage: Bacteria
Description: partial 16S ribosomal RNA
Rfam family: Bacterial small subunit ribosomal RNA
Source: RNAcentral
CAGCCGCCGCGGUAAUACGAAGGGUGCAAGCGUUACUCGGAAUUACUGGGCGUAAAGCGUGCGUAGGUGGUGGUUUAAGUCCGUUGUGAAAGCCCUGGGCUCAACCUGGGAAUUGCAGUGGAUACUGGGUCACUAGAGUGUUGUAGAGGAUAGUGGAAUUUCCGGAGUAGCAGUGAAAUGCGUAGAGAUCGGAAGGAACAUCUGUGGCGAAGGCGACUAUCUGGGCCAACACUGACACUGAGGCACGAAAGCGUGGGGAGCAAACAGGAUUAGAUACCCCAGUAGUCCCUGUCUCUUAUAC